This 477-nucleotide ribosomal RNA is filed under the name Candidatus Scalindua brodae. RNAcentral describes it as "bacterial SSU rRNA". It matches the Rfam family "Bacterial small subunit ribosomal RNA", at positions 365 to 832 of the family's 1533-position model. The record is from RNAcentral. Lineage: Bacteria; Pseudomonadati; Planctomycetota; Candidatus Brocadiia; Candidatus Brocadiales; Candidatus Scalinduaceae.
UUCGCAAUGCCCGAAAGGGUGACGAAGCGACGCCGCGUGGGUGAGGAAGGCCCUCGGGUUGUAAAGCCCUGUCAGGGGUUAAGAAAUGUAAGUGUGUUAAUACCACAUUUAUUUGACGAAGGCUCCAAAGGAAGCCACGGCUAACUCUGUGCCAGCAGCCGCGGUAAUACAGAGGUGGCAAGCGUUGUUCGGAAUUAUUGGGCGUAAAGAGCACGUAGGUGGGUUUGUAAGUCAGAUGUGAAUGCCUUCUGUUCAACGGAAGAAUUGCAUCUGAAACUGCGAAUCUUGAGUGUAGGAGGGGAGAAUGGAACUUCUGGUGGAGCGGUGAAAUGCGUAGAUAUCAGAAGGAACGCCGGCGGCGAAAGCGAUUCUCUGGCCUAUCACUGACACUCAGUGUGCGAAAGCUAGGGGAGCAAACGGGAUUAGAUACCCCGGUAGUCCUAGCCGUAAACGAUGGGCACUAAGUAGAGGGGUUUU